UACGGAGGGUGCGAGCGUUGUCCGGAAUCACUGGGCGUAAAGGGUGCGUAGGCGGGCUUGUAAGUCAGUGGUGAAAGCCCGGAGCUUAACUCCGGAACUGCCAUUGAUACUGCAAGUCUUGAGUACACUUGAGGUGGGCGGAAUACAUCAUGUAGUGGUGAAAUACUUAGAUAUGAUGUAGAACACCGAUUGCGAAGGCAGCUCACUAAAUUGUAACUGACGCUGAGGCACGAAAGCGUGGGGAUCAAACAGG
Molecule: ribosomal RNA, 253 nt
Filed under: uncultured bacterium
Lineage: Bacteria
Description: partial 16S ribosomal RNA
Rfam family: Bacterial small subunit ribosomal RNA
Source: RNAcentral